AUGCCUAAUGGGGUGAACGAUACAAUUAUAGUUCUUAUACCAAAGAAGAAAGAUCCAGUUAAUUUAAAGGAUUUUAGACCAAUUAGUUUAUGUAAUGUUGUUUCUAAAAUCGUAGCUAAGUGUCUGGUAAAUCGUCUUAGGCCUUUGCUCGAGGAUAUUAUUGCCCCCACUCAAAGUGCUUUUAUUCCUGGGAGGAUGAUUACGGAUAAUGCUUUGGUAGCUUUUGAGUGUAUAAAUACUAUGCAAAAGUCACGUGAUGCUAAAGGGUCUUUCUGCGCUUACAAGUUAGAUUAG
Molecule: ribosomal RNA, 294 nt
Filed under: Triticum aestivum (bread wheat)
Lineage: Eukaryota; Viridiplantae; Streptophyta; Magnoliopsida; Poales; Poaceae
Description: partial small subunit ribosomal RNA
Source: RNAcentral